GGAUAACUGUAUUUGUAAGUAUUUACUCACACCAGUUUUUUGUAGGGCAAAGUACAUUUAGAUAUCCCGUGGUUUAGCACUUUUAUUAUUGAGGGCUUGAGGGAUUUUUUGUUUAAAAUUAGAAUUUGUGAAUUUGCAUCUUUAGCACUUGGUUGACAAAAGGUCUGACAAUGUCAAAAAAUAUUGACGUGGAGUCAUUUUCAAUUUUUUGGUUUUAGGCGGUAGUGUCUAAUGGUGCCACAUCAACAUUUUUUUGAUGCCGUUAGACAUUUUGUCACUUAAGCAUUAACAGUGCAAAACCACAAAUCCUGACUUACAAUAAAACAUUCCUCAGGCCCUCAAUAAUAAAAGCCUAAAACUACUGGUUAUUUAAUUGUACUUUAUCUCUUUUGGUAUUAUUCUUGUUAAUAUCCGCUUGAUUAGUUCCUUGGAACACCCUCCACCCAAUUGCUUACUGAAGGCAACUAAAUUGAGUCAAUUCUUUGCAGCUGAUAGUUGCAGCAGGAAUGGGUCCAAUACUAGCCCUGAAGUACUUUCGCUACACGUAUAGACCCAGUAAAAUCAACACUCUACAGCAGGCUGAACGUUUGGGUGGACCAAUCUUGUCUCUGGGGAAUAUCGAACCACAACCAAGAUCA
This 638-nucleotide unclassified non-coding RNA is filed under the name Hevea brasiliensis (rubber tree). The record is from RNAcentral. Lineage: Eukaryota; Viridiplantae; Streptophyta; Magnoliopsida; Malpighiales; Euphorbiaceae.